RNAcentral lists this long non-coding RNA (1942 nucleotides) under Homo sapiens (human). RNAcentral's name for it is "HSALNT0255856". Lineage: Eukaryota; Metazoa; Chordata; Mammalia; Primates; Hominidae. The record is from RNAcentral.
AAUGAUAAACGAAACAAAAAGUUGGUUCUUUGAAAAUAUCAACAAAAGUAAUAAACUGCUGGCUAGACUAACCAAGAAAAAAAAGAAGAUUCAAAUGAACAAAACCAGAAUUGAAAAAGAAGACAUUACACCAAUACCACAGAAAUACCAUCAGAGACUACUAUGAACAACUAUAUGCUCACAACCUAGAAAACCUAUAGGUUUUUUUGAAACGUAUAACCUCCCAGGAUUGAACCAAGAAGAAACAGAUAUCCUGAAUAGACCAAUAAUAAGUAGCAAUAUUGAAUCAGCAAUAAAAAAAUUCCCAAAAAUGAAAGCUCUGGGCCAGACAGAUUUAUACCAAAAUUGUACCAAAUAGGCCAGAUGUGGUGGCUCAUGCCUGUAAUCAUAGCACUGUGGAGCCUGAGACAGGAGGAUUGCUUGAGGUCUUGGGUUUAAACCUUUAAUCAUUUUGAUUUGAUUUUUGUAUAUGAUGAGAGAUAGGGGUCUAGGUUCUUUUUCCUGCAUAUGAACAUUCAGUUUUCCCAGCACCAUUUACUAAAGAGACUGUCCUUUCCCCAAUGUACAUUCUUGGCACUUUUGUCAAAAAUGAGUUCACUGUAAAUGUAUAGAUUUAUUUCUAGGUUCUCUAUUCUGUUCCAGUGGUCUAUGUAUCUGUUUUUAUGCCAGGACCAUGCUGUUCUGGUUACUAUAGCUCUGUAGUAUAAUCUGAGGUCAAGUAAUGUGAUUCUCCAGUUUUGUUCUUUUUGAUCAGGAUAGCUUUGGCUAUUCCAGGUCUUUUGUGGUUCCAUAUAAAUUUCAGGAUUAUUUUUUCUAUUUCUGUGAAGAAUGUCCUUGGUAUUUUGAUAGGAAUUGUAUUUAAUCUGUAGGUUGCUUUGGGUAGUAGGCACAUUUUAACAAUAUUUAUUCUUCCAAUCCAUGAACAUGGAAUAUCUUUCCAUUUUUUGUCCUUUUCAAUUUCUUGCAUCAAUGGUUUAUGGUUUUCAUUGUAGAGAUCUUUCACUUAUUUCUUAGGUUAAAUUAAUUCCUAGGUAUUUUAUUUGUAGCUAUUGUAAAGAGGACUUUCUUGAUUUCUUUUUCAGAUUGUUUACUGUUAGCAUAUAGAAAUGCUAUUCAUUUUUGGCUUUUUAAUUUUUAUUUUUUUUCUCCCAGUGAUCCUUGUUCUGAAAGAAAUGCUACUGAUUUUUAUAUGUUGAUUUCGUAUCCUGCAACUUUACUGAAUUUAUUGGUUCUAGUAGUUUUUUUGUGAAGUCUUUAGGUUUUCCCCAAAUAUAAGAUCAUGUGAUCUGCAAAGAAGGAUAAUUUGACUUCUUCCUUUCCAGUUUGGAUGCCCUUUAUUUCUUUCUCUUAUCUGAUUGCUCUAACUAGGACUUCAAGUACCAAGUUGAAUAACAGUGGUGACAGUGGGCAUCUUUGUCCUGUUCCAGAUUUUAGAGGAAAGGCUGUUUUUCUCCAUUCAGUAUACUAGUUGUGGGUCUGUCAUAUAUGACUUUUUAUUAUGUUGAGGUAUAUUCUUUUUAUACUCGGUUUUUUUGAAGGUUUUUUUUAUCAUAAAGGGAUGUCAAAUUUCAUCAAAUGCAUUUUCAGCAUUAUUAAAAUGAUCAUAUAGUUUUUGUCCUUCAUUCUGUCAAUAUGAUGUAUCACAUACUAUCCUUGCAUCCCUGGGAUAAAUCCCACUUGGUCAUGAUAAAUUAUCUUUUUGAUGUGUUGUUGAAUUCGGUUGCUAGUAUUUUGUUGAGGAUGUUUGCAUGAAUAUUCAUCAGGGAUAUUGACCUAUAGUUUUCUUAAUGUGUCUUUGCCUGGUUUUGGUAUCUGGGUAAUACUGGACUCAGAAUGAGUUUGAAAGUAUUCCUUCCUCCUCUAUUUUUUUUUUCUUGAGGUGGAGUAUUGCUCUUUCUCCCAGGCUGGAGUGCAGUGGUGUGAUCUCAGCUCACUGCAACCA